This 438-nucleotide ribosomal RNA is filed under the name uncultured bacterium. RNAcentral's name for it is "bacterial SSU rRNA". It matches the Rfam family "Bacterial small subunit ribosomal RNA", at positions 338 to 792 of the family's 1533-position model. The record is from RNAcentral.
CCUACGGGGGGCAGCAGUGGGGGAUAUUGCACAAUGGGGGGAACCCUGAUGCAGCGACGCCGCGUGGGUGAAGGAGCGUUUCGGCGCGUAAAGCCCUAUCGGCAGGGAAGAAGAAGGACGGUACCUGACUAAGAAGCCCCGGCUAACUACGUGCCAGCAGCCGCGGUAAUACGUAGGGGGCAAGCGUUAUCCGGAUUUACUGGGUGUAAAGGGGGCGCAGACGGCAGCGCAAGCCAGGAGUGAAAGCCCGGGGCCCAACCCCGGGACUGCUCUUGGAACUGCGCGGCUGGAGUGCAGGAGGGGCAGGCGGAAUUCCUGGUGUAGCGGUGAAAUGCGUAGAUAUCAGGAGGAACACCGGUGGCGAAGGCGGCCUGCUGGACUGCGACUGACGUUGAGGCCCGAAAGCGUGGGGAGCAAACAGGAUUAGAUACCCUAGUA